GGUACUGUAUUCCGGCAAAUAUUAUCUAUUAUGAAAAUUUUUGUUCAGUGGCAAACCAUUCCUUAGUGCUAUAUUAUGGUUUCCUUGGAAAGUGCAAACCAGUUCAGGAAAUCAUGUUAGUAAAUUUGCAUACCUCAUUGAUUUCUUCAAGGAUGUUAUUUAUGCAGUCCCUUCUUUUCUACUGAUCGCAGAAUGAAUGAUUUUGAAGUGAGGAAGGCAGCAGACAGGGAGAAAAGUGAUAAUAACUCUGUACUGUCUAAAUGCUUUUCUGCUAGGAGGCAACGAAAUUGGUCUUUCUAUUGAUAAAUAAGUGUUUUAUUCAAUUAUGCAUUGUGCAUAUGUAAUUAUUGAUUUUUCUAUUAAUGAAAUUAACUAUUGUACAUAAUUAUGAUUUUAUGUUUUAUUUCAAAUGCUUAUCUUAUCG
Molecule: unclassified non-coding RNA, 424 nt
Filed under: Hevea brasiliensis (rubber tree)
Lineage: Eukaryota; Viridiplantae; Streptophyta; Magnoliopsida; Malpighiales; Euphorbiaceae
Source: RNAcentral